AUUGAACGCUGGCGGCAGGCCUAACACAUGCAAGUCGAGCGGAUGAAGGGAGCUUGCUCCUGGAUUCAGCGGCGGACGGGUGAGUAAUGCCUAGGAAUCUGCCUGGUAGUGGGGGAUAACGUCCGGAAACGGGCGCUACUACCGCAUACGUCCUGCGGGAGAAAGUGGGGGAUCUUCGGACCUCACGCUAUCAGAUGAGCCUAGGUCGGAUUAGCGAGUUGGUGGGGUAAAGGCCUACCAAGGCGACGAUCCGUAACUGGUCUGUGAGGAUGAUCAGUCACACUGGAACUGUGACACGGUCCUGACUCCUACGGGAGGCAGCAGUGGGGAAUAGUGGACGAUGGGCGAAAUCCUGAUCCAGCCAUGCCGCGUGGGUGAAGAAGGUCUUCGGAUUGGAAAACGCUUUAAGUGUGGAGGAAGGGCAGUAAGUUGAUAGCUGGCUGUUUUGACGUUACCUACAGAAUAAGCACCGGCUAACUUCGUG
RNAcentral lists this ribosomal RNA (484 nucleotides) under uncultured bacterium. RNAcentral describes it as "partial 16S ribosomal RNA". It matches the Rfam family "Bacterial small subunit ribosomal RNA", at positions 30 to 507 of the family's 1533-position model. The record is from RNAcentral.